Molecule: ribosomal RNA, 536 nt
Filed under: Porzana porzana
Lineage: Eukaryota; Metazoa; Chordata; Aves; Gruiformes; Rallidae
Description: partial 16S ribosomal RNA
Rfam family: Bacterial large subunit ribosomal RNA (bases 150-519)
Source: RNAcentral
GCCUUCCCAACAAAACUUACCUGUAGGCCUUCAAGCAGCCAUCACCAAAGAGUGCGUCAAAGCUCAUCUUUCCCCCAAAUCCAAAAAUACWUGCGACUCCCUCACCCAUAACAGGACAACCUAUCAAAAAUAGGAGUAUUAAUGCUAAAAUAAGUAACUAAGGACCCCCUUCUAAAGCACAAACUUACAUCUCACAUUAUUAACAGACCAACUAAUACCUAAACAACCUCUGCAAGAUCCAAUAUUAAACAACUCUGUUAAACCAACUCAGGAGUGCUCAAUUAGAAAGAUUCAAACCUGCAAAAGGAACUAGGCAAAUUCCAAGGCCCGACUGUUUACCAAAAACAUAGCCUUCAGCACACCAAGUAUUGAAGGUGAUGCCUGCCCAGUGACACUAAGUUCAACGGCCGCGGUAUCCUAACCGUGCAAAGGUAGCGCAAUCAAUUGUCCCAUAAAUCGAGACUUGUAUGAAUGGCCAAACGAGGUCUUAACUGUCUCUUGCAGGUAAUCAGUGAAAUUGAUCUCCUCAUGCAAAA